CACGUAGGGUGCGAGCGUUGUCCGGAAUUAUUGGGCGUAAAGGGCGCGUAGGCGGUGCCACAAGUCACCUGUGAAAUCUCUGGGCUUAACUCAGAACGGUCAACUGAUACUGUCGGACUAGAGUGCAGAAGGGGCAACUGGAAUUCUCGGUGUAGCGGUGAAAUGCGUAGAUAUCGAGAGGAACACCUGCGGCGAAGGCGGGUUGCUGGGCUGACACUGACGCUGAGGCGCGAAAGCUAGGGGAGCGAACGGG
Molecule: ribosomal RNA, 253 nt
Filed under: uncultured bacterium
Lineage: Bacteria
Description: partial 16S ribosomal RNA
Rfam family: Bacterial small subunit ribosomal RNA
Source: RNAcentral